UUGUCUGGUUUUUUUUUUUUUUUUUUUUUUUUUUUGCAUAGCUUGAUCUUGGUCUUUCUUAUUCGUUCUAUCAUCCUAAUGGCCCAUUUGACUUUCCAUUACUGAUGAGUUAUCUUUGAAAAAUCAGUAUAAAAGGAAUAACUUAUUUCUGUUUUGGUUUUAGUACAUGGUUUCUUGUCUCUAGAGACGAAGCCUGCUGUCUUCUGCUGGGAUGGGACAGAGGUGCUGCCUUGCUAGAAUAAGUACGAGGCAGGGAAAGGAGCUGAGAAUCUAACAGUUUUUAAUAUAAUAUAAUUUAAUUUAUUUGUUAAACCUUAUGCUCAUAUACUUCUCUCCUGCUUCCGAAGUUACCUGGUGCUGUUGCUUUCAUGGCUUGUAAAUUCUGUCACAAAUCUAACCUCACUUCCCUUCAUAAUUUCUUAGAAUUCAGAUUUUUUUUGUCCCUGAAAAGCUAUUUAUGACCUUUUAUUAUUGUGAAGUUUCAUCUUGUGAACUCAGUCUUAUGAAUAUAACCAGGGGGAAAAUCUACUAUUGUCAUCUUGGAGCAUAGUGCUCCUGUAAUUGUAAUAAUAACUUACCUUCUUUAGCCAGAAAGCUGUUACCUCUAUUUUUUGAAAAUAUGACAAAUAUGACCUUUCCCAAUCUUGACUUGUCAGCCAUAAAGCCAUAUUGCUAAUUGACAGUGCUUGUUUGGUCUCGGGACUAUCCUACCUACUCGCACACUCUGCCUUAGCUAAAAUGUCUUACUACUUAUUUUGACCUUCACUUUUGAUAUUGAGAUUAGUAUUUAAGAUAAUAGAUAAUCAUCUGAAAAACAUCUGGAGAUCCAGGAAGCAAGAGAGGGAGGCUGGAGAUCACAGCACCAGUCUGCAGGAAUCCACAGGUAUCACACAAAUGGCUUAGUUAGUAACUCCAGACACUAGAGUUACACAUAUUAGUACUUGUGACUGUCAGGCCAGAUUGUAAGAGGGGACUUCUUAUUCUCCUUACAGAAGAGGAAACCAGGCUAUAGAAAUACCAAGAAGCUCCAGUGCAGCCAACGCGGCUCAGCAGGAAGCAAGGUGUGAAGAGCAAACACAACAGUCCUGCUGCAGAGCUCACACCCCUGAGCCUUUUGCACCGUGUGCCCUGUGCCAUGGGGAGGCUUUGGUUGGUAGUUAGGAAAGGUUUAAAUUUGCUCCUGUGAUGUAGUCUGAUCAGCCUUACUGUCUGUUGUCAUUUAUUUCCUUAGACAUUACAUAUCAUAUAAUCUGCAAACUCAAAAUGGAAUUUUGAUUUUCUUGAUGUAUACUAAGGAGUUGUUGCCUCAGACUUUUCUGACACACCUUAAAAGAUUUGCCUUCUUGUCUGCUUAUCAAGGGUAUAUUUCUGUGGUCUUCUGCAGCUGAGCUGCCAUUGAUUUAAGGUUUCUAAACCUACUUUCUCCGGAUACUGUGAGUUUAUGGUAGCACUCUGUCAAAAUGGGAGCUCUAGAAAAUGUUUCUCUCUCAGAUACAGUCAAAUAGUAAUUAUCUUGAAAGAGAAUUAUUCAUAUUUUGGUAUAUUUGGAAGAGGUAUUUAAUUCCGAACUUAUUAAAUAAUUAGCCGUUUAGUCUUUGAAAACAUAACAUCCCUUUUGAUACAAUUUUGAAGAAGAAAGUCUUAAAGAUAGAUAUCUGUUUAGUUCACAUCCUGCAUUAUGAUAUAAAUAAAUAACCAGCUGUAUAGAACGUACCUCAAUUCACUCUGUAUCCUUUAAUUACUUUAUUUAUUUACUUUAGUUUAUGCCUGAAAAGGAUCAGAUUUGUUACUUUAUUGUUAUUAAAUUUGAACAGAUUAAAAAUAGUUAUACUCAGCAUACAUGUAUAGUGAUAUAUCUUGAAUAUAUACAUUUGCUUGACUUGGUCAAUAAAAAAGUAUUGAGCCAUUCAAGUGAUUAUAUAGUUAUUUUAAUAAAUCUAGAAAUCAGAUUUUAAACAUUUUGUGUAUUUGUUUUUAAACUUUUUUAUUUCUUUGAAUGUGAGUGCAGUUUUCUUGUGUGCUGCAGUGGCUCACUCUUGGACGGGUGCUGCUGAGGACGCUCUGAGCUGGAAUUCACCUUCUGGGCUUCAGUGUCCUGUUUUUAAGUCUAUGCUCUCCAAUCAAGACUGAAGUGUUUUAUAAUUCAUGUCUUCUAGUUGUAGCCAUUGUCAGCGUUUCAUAUAACAUUAGCUUCUGAAAGGUGACGUACAAGUGUUGACAUAAUAGUUCUUUGGAAGAGUGUGACUGGAAAAAUGUAACUGUUAAGGUCUUUAUGAUGUCAUUUAAAACACAAAUCUUGGGAGGAAUAAUGGAGGUGUUAGUCCUGGUCAUGAAGUUCCCUGGUUGGCUUCAUCUGGAAGCUAAAAUGGCCCUAAAUUCACAGGCAUGUUCCAGUUCGUGUUGGGUGUUAGAAAGCUGCUCCUUUGUGGAGAAGGCCGCUCCCCCGGGCUGCCUGUACUUGUUUUCAUUCUUUAUCCUAUUGUAAUUGCUGGUAGUUACUGUUCUAGCACACAGCCUUUCCAUUCAUGGCCAUUGGACCAAUGGGGUUGUAUCAACAGUAUUCUCAGUUCAAAACUUUUUAAUAGAGCCCACCCACUUGAGCUUUUUCUCUUUUAAUUUAAUGAAAAGUGACUUUCCUGAAUUUGAAGACACUGUAAGAACCUUCUCUACUUGGAAUUAGAAUUGUCAGUACAAAAUUAAAAACAUAAACCCAAAGUAUUGGUAAGAAUCUAUGCCUGCCUAUUUUCCUUCUGCUGAUGAAUUUUUAAUUUUUUAAAUUAAAAUAUUGAAUUGAAGGGACUACAUCCCAGACAAAGUGACUCCUAAAUUGCUUGUGAAAGAGUAAUUCUCUAAGUGUUACACAUCUGGCUUUGAUUGAGGCCUUUAUAAAUUUCCUUUCAAUGGGUUUUAAAAAAUGACUUAAAUGUUUUUGAAGAAACUGUCUAAUUCCAAAGUAGAUAUGCUUUAAAAUUGAAAAUAUGGGCAAUUAAGUUUUUAGGGAACGUGGAUUAUUUAGAAGUCUCAAUCCCCGCCCCCUCCCCUGCAUUCAUGAGUGCCCUGCUCGCUGAGGUCACAUUAACCAUGGCUGUGGGGCUCUCUAGGCUUCUUUUGUUUCUUUUUGGUAACACUUUUGUCUUUCUGUUUUCUCCUAGGUAUGAAGUAGGCUAAGGGUUGUUUGUAUACUGUGAAUUGAUUAGGUUAUGAUUCAUAAAUUACUGAGAAUUUUAUUUCUUGAUUGAUAAACUGAAGAGAACUAUAUAUCUAAAUGGCAAUUGCUUACCUACAUUGUAGAAGACAAAGUAGAGAGAGAAGAGAUAAAAUAGGGAACAGAAAUGUGAGAAUUGGAGAGAUUUGCCUCUCCCAAGCCUGUUAUAUAUUACUUCCUGUUUUAAUCUAUUUGUUUUUACUUUUUCUCAUUAAAAUUUUAAGUGCAGAAAAUGGGCAUUACUUAUUCUGUCUUUGAAACUCCCAGAUUCCAACAAUGUGAACGCAGUUAUAAGAGAUUAGCUGCUUUGUGUUUUAGCCUUUGCAAGUAUAGCUCUCAAGAUUUUUAUAAAAUAAGUAAACAAAGAUGAUAUAGCCCUGGAAUCAUGCCACAAGUUCAUACUUUUGCACUACGGACAUCGAGUCUUUAAUUUGGAAUCAGUGGGUCAGUCCCCACCCUACCUGGUUCAUGUACACACCUGUAUGUAUGUAUGUACACAUACUAUAUAAUGCAAUCAAUGUGUUUUUCUAGUAUAGUUGUUUUUAAAUUGACUUUUGGCUUCUUCCCUCUCUCAUCAUAUAAUGAAGAGUAAAAUACCAACCCACCAUUCCAAAUUUAGAUACGAUGCCAUGUCUGCAUUACUGAUACUCAGGUCCUAAGGACUUAGAAACUCUUUAGUCAUCAAACAGCUUUCUCUGAGAUAUAUUGUCUCAUACAAACAUCACAAGAGAACAUAUAUUUGGGAAAAAACUUUCAGAAAGGAUUGAAGCAUUACUUUUUUUUUUUGUUUGUUUUUUGUUUUUUUGUUUUUUCGAGACAGGGUUUCUCUGUAUAGCCCCAGCUGUCCUGGAACCACUUUGUAGACCAGGCUGGCCUCGAAAAGCACUACUUUCUUGAUUUUGCUUUGUGAUAAGAAAAAAAAAAAAACCUAUAAAGCUUUAUCUGUAAUUCUCUUUCUCAAUACAAGCUUAAAACAAACAAACAAACAAACAAACAAAACAGGAACUACCACCACCACCAAACUAAAAAUCUAGUUGGGACUGGAAAGAUGUACUUAAGAGCAUUUGUUGUCUUGCAAAGGACCCAAGUGUGGCUCCCAGCAGCCACAUGGUAACUCGUAGUCAUCCAUAACUCCAGAUCCAGGGCAUCCAGUAUUCUCUGCUGAUUUCUCUGGGAAUGAGACACACACAGUGCUCAGGUAACAUUGCAGUCAAAGCACUCAAACUCAUAAUGAAAAAUAAAGAAAAAGAACUUGUUUUGAGAGAUGCCUCAGUAGUGGGUGAAGAGCACAUGUUGUUCUUUCAGAGGACCUAGGUUCGAUUCCCAGGGCCCACAUAGCUGCUUCAUGUCUCAUGCUUUCCCAGAGCCUCUCAUACUUUUAACCUUUACAAUGAGGUAAAGAAAAGACACCCCAGGAGGAAAUUUGUUCCAAAGCUGGGAAGAUUAAACCUCAAAUCAUGACUUUUGAGAUUUUAGUUAGGAGCCAUUUGAUACGUAACUCACAGCCCCUUUUCCACUUGUUGUAAUUGAAUUACUGUAUUAGUUUUAGAAUGGCUGUAACAAAGUCCCACAAAAGAGCUAGUUUAAAUAAUGGAUGUCUUAAGGUUUUUUUUUUUUUUUUAUUGCUGUGAAGAGACACCAUGACCAAAGCAACUCUUACGAAGAAAACAUUUAAAUGGUGUUGGCUUACAGUUUCAGAGGUUCAGUCCAUUAUCGUCAUGGUGGGAAGCAUGGCAGCAUCUAGUCAGACAGUGCUGGAGAAGGAGCUGAGGGUUCUACAUCUUGAUCUGCAGGUAGCAGAAGGAGAUUAUGUUCUACACUGGGUGGCUUGAGCAUAGAAGACCCCAAAGCCUGCCUUCUCCAGUGACACAUCUUCUCCAACAAGGCCUCACCUACUCCCAACAAAGCCAUACCCACUUCAGCAAGGCUAUACCUACUCUAACAAGGAUACACAUCCUAAUAGUGCCACUCCUCAUGGGCCAAGCAUAUAAACACAUGCAUGAUCUAUGGGGCCAUACCUAUUCAAACCACCACAGUGGCAUACUAUGUUGUCUCAAAGUCCUGAAAGCUACAAGUAUAAAAACUGUAGUCUGGCUGGCUUCUUGAGGGUUCUAAGGGAAGUUUCCCCAGGCCUCUCGCUGUGCCUGCUGCAUGACUGCCUGCUCCUCACGACUGUCAUUGUCUUCCCUUUUCAGAUGUUCCUGUCCAUUGUUUUUCACCUUUUAAAACGAUACCAGUCCCACUCACUUUGUGCUGUACUGUGUUUUCUGUCAAUGUGACAAAUCUAGAGUCAUCUGAGAGAAGGGAACCUCCACUGAGAAAAUGCUUCCAUAAGAUUGUUCUGUAGGCAAUCCUGCACAGCAUUUUCUUAAUUAGUGAUUGAUGGGGAAUAGCCCAGCCCAUUGUGGGCGCUGCCAUCCCUAGGCUAGUGGUCCUGUGUUCUCUAUAAGAACGCAGGCUGAGGAAAUCAUGCGAAGCAAGCUAGUAAACAGCACUUCUCCAUGGCCCUUGCAUCAUCUCCUGCCUUCAGAUUCCUACCUUGCUUUGAGUUCCUGUCCUAACUGAUUUUGAUGGUGAACUCUGAGUGAAAUAAACUCUUUCCUCCUCAAGUUGCUUUGGUCAUGGUGUUUCAUCACAGCAACAGGAGCCCUAGCUAAGACAGGUGCCAUUGGUAUUUUAAUAUGCUCCAGUUUUAAAUAAUAUCCUUUCUUACUCAUCUUAUUCCAAACAAAUUCUCUUUCUAAGUUGCUGGAUCCCGGGACUCUAACAUAUCAUCUGUCUUUUAUAUUGGGAGAACACAGAGUAACCAGUGACAUAUCAUCUUCAAGUAAAGGAAGAAUCACUGAAGAUGGGGGUUUUCUUUCCAAGAACUUAAUAGAAACUCUUCUCUUGAGUCUUGCUACUCUCUUACCCCCCAGGGCAAAUUAAUUUCAUUAUAGUGGAAGAAUUUUCUUCCUUUCCUUAUUCUUCUGUCCCUUUCUUUCCUUCCCUUCCCCUUUUUCUUGCUUCCUUUUUUCCCCUUUCCUUUCCUUUCCUUUCCUUUCCUUUCCUUUCCUUUCCUUUCCUUUCCUUUCCUUUCCUUUCCUUUCCUUUUUUUUUUUUAAACAGAACGUAUGUUCUAUGCAUUAGGGUCAAAGAAUUACCUAAUGAUUACUUGUGGAAAUAUUGAGAUUUAUGACUUUGUGUUCCUGAAAUAUUUUUAAGUUAGAACAUAUAAAAUUAAUUGUGAACUUAGCACUUUUUCUCAAAAUUAGUCUGUGUGUCACCUCAUACUCUAACAGUUCUCCUAAGCAUUAAAAAUGUUCCCUUCAUCAGAGGAUGGCAGAGUCUCUGAAGGAACGCCUGUUUCAUAGACCACAGAGCAGAUGUUUUGUUAAGUUUAAACAAGUAGUGAGACCCGGAGCGGGAGGGAGGGUGCAAGGAUAAAACUUAGUACUGCUCCCCUGCUGCCAGAAAGGAAGAGGCAGUUUCCGUGGUAAAGCCAGCUCUGGUCCAGUAGCAGUCAGCCUCGUUCUGUACACAAUGCCAGGGCAGGACAGUGACUGACCUUGAAGACAAUUUUAAUUCUGGGAGCGUGCAGAAGUCUUAGCUCCGUAUAUGUUUGGCUUCAAUUACUUAUUUAAGCUCAAAAUUGAAUGCAUGAUUUUUGGCUUAAUUUCCCUUUAACCCAAGAUACCGUAAGAUUGCACUCAUAUACCAGGAGUCUUGUUUUCAUCCAGGCCCCAGCUAAUCGACUGACGUCAAGCAAAUAAUCUUACUUUCCAGGCUUUGUUAACGCAGUAGAGUGUGGGUGACAGUUAAGCAAUAGAACGUAAGCAUCCUGUGGAGUAAUACCCUUUUCUAGAUAGUUAAGGAUCAAAAUUGAGAGUAAAGUUCUUCAUUCUUGGAGAUGCUUAGAAAGUUGGAGAUCUGCUAUAUGUGAAUGCACAUGUAGCUGCAUUCUAUGAGUGUUAUGGAAAUAAUUAUCUAUAGCUGCAGUUUUCAACCUGUGGGGUGUGACUCCUUUGGGGGUCUCAUAUCCAAUAUCCUGCAUAUCAGAUAUUACAUUAUGAUUUAUGUCAGCAAAAUUACAGUUAUAAAGUAGCAACAAAAGAUUUUAUUGAAAGGACCCAGAUGUAGCUAUCUCUUGUGAGACUAUGCCGGGGCCUAGCAAACACAGAAGUGGAUGCUCACAGUCAGCUAAUGGAUGGAUCACAGGGCUCCCAAUGGAGGAGCUAGAUAAAGAACCCAAGGAGCUAAAGGGAUCUGCAACCCUAUAGGUGGAACAACAUUAUGAACUAACCAGUACCCCAGAGCUCUUGACUCUAGCUGCAUAUGUAACAAAAGAUGGCCUAGUCGGCCAUCACUGGAAAGAGAGGCCCAUAAACUUUGUAUGCCCCAGUACAGGGGAACGCCAGGGCCAAAAAGGGGGAGUGGGUGGGUAGGGGAGUGGGGGUGGGUGGGUAUGGGGGACUUUUGGUAUAGCAUUGGAAAUGUAAAUGAGCUAAAUACCUAAUAAAAAAUGGAAAAAAAAAAAAGAAAAGAAAAGUAGUGGAAUAUAGUAAAAUCAUUGUAGUCUUCCAAAUAAAACAAGCAUGGAAGAAAAAAUUGGAGUUGUAUGUAAGAGAAAAUAAAGACUCACCUGUAAAUCUUUGAAGAAAUACAAAAAAAAAAAAAAAGUAGCAACAAAAUGAUUUUAUGGUUUGGAGCCACUGUAACCUGAAAAACUGUAGUAAAGGGUCACAGAAUUAAGAAGAUUGAGGAAAUAACUUGGAAAAUUAUUCAGUUUAGGGUUGAAAGAAUACUGGGAAGCUUGCUAGUUGUGCAUGGGUGAGGGAAAGGUUUAGCAGAAAUCCCAGUUGUUCAGUAUUGUUUGUUUGUAAGGUUUUUCUUAAAUUGUAACAUGCAUUCAUCAAGAAUGUCAGCUUUUGACCUGUUCACAUAAAAAUAUCUUAUUACUUUUAAGUUUUGCCUGACACCUAUGUUUAUAGUCAAGCAAUCAAAGAUUUCUUUUUGAGUUUGCAAUAGAAAAGUCAGGAAUAAACAAGCGCAGCUUUAAAAUAGACUUAUACAAAUGUGUGUAGGGCAAAGGUUUAAAGUAAUUGUUUUGCGUAAUUAACUGAUGUCUAAUUAGGUUUGGUUUUUAAACUCCAAAGUAUGUAUUUAUUAAUUAGGUCUUUCAACUUGGAAAGAUCAGUUAUUUUAUGUCAGUUAUUUUAGAAACUUUGUUUAGAAUAAAAUAUCUUCAUCUAUCUACACACACACACACACACACACACACACACACACACACACACCACAUCUCUAUAUAAAUAUAAAGCCACUGCUUUCAAUAGUAAAGUACUUUUAUAAAGUACAUAGUGUCCCUUUUCCUUGUGAAUUACAAUUUCUUAGGGUUCAGUUAUGCUUUUUGCUUUUUAAUCAUUUUAUGAUGUUUUUAAAGAUUAUUAACUCAUUAGAUGACUUUUAAAAGAUCACAUAUCUUACUAGAUUAAUAUAAAUUGAUGGAUUAUAAAAGUGUUGAAUAUAUUUACCAAAUUUUCCCAAGGAAACCAACACAAGACUCUCUCUCUCUCUCUCUCUCUCUCUAUAUAUAUAUAUAUAUACACACAUGCCUUGUUUAUUCUCUCUCUUUCUCUCCUCCUGUUCCUCCCUCUCUCUCUCUCUGUCUCACACACACACACACACACACACACACACAACCACUAAUGUAAUGGCUGGCUGGUAGAAUUGGUGGGUAAAUAAGCAACUAACUCACAUUUUUAAUUUUUGUGUAUGUAUACAUAUAGGUGAUAUGUAUAUAUUUAAUCUAUUUUGAAUAAUUUAAAAAAGUUUUCUAAGAUAUGUGCUACAAAAUACACAGUCACACACACACACACACACAUACACACACACCUCUAUAGCCAAAUACAUUUGGAAAUGUGGCAUGUUUAUAUAAAAAAAAUCCUUAAUGUAUUAGCUCAUUAAAAUUUUUGAGAAAAGAAACAAAUUUAGAUGUAGUCUAGCAUUUUCAAAUGUAUAUAAGAAAUGUAUAAUUCUCUCUGUCUCUGUAUAUACACUACACCUGCUUUUAGAUGUAUAAAAACAUGACUAUAUAUAGUGGUUUUUCAUUUGAUCAAGUGGUAGAGCUGAUUGCUACAGCAAGAAGCAGACGUGUUUGACGCUGCUUUCGUAAUCGAUUAUAGAGGAGCAGUAAAUACAGAUUGAACGAAAUGCCACGUUGGCUGUUUGAAUGCGUGGAUACUACGAGUCCCAGUGCUGCAGUGGACAGCUGUAUUCUGUUUCCCUGGGUCUCUGGGUAGCUCUUGCCUGGCCUGUGCACUGCCUUACUGUUUCUGCCCAAUUUCUCCAGCCUCUGCGUCUUCGUUUUCAUGCCCAAAGAACUUCAGCAGCUGAAAAGCUUAGUUUAGAAACUCAGCACUUACUCACUUUAGACUUUAAACUGUUCAGUUCUGUUUGGUGGAUUUAUUAUAUGAGGAAGUGUCAUGAGGAAACAAGUUAUUCGGCAUCAAAUUUUGCGUCUUGAAUUACAAAGGAACCAUUUAAAAUCAAAUAGAAAGAACUUGGGUUUUGUUUGGCUUUUCUCUUUUAAGAGAAAUUAUAAGGAAGACAAAUCGAGUGAUGCCUACUAAUAGAAAAACAAUCUCAAUGACUUCAAGUUUAACCACCAACUGCAAGAGAAUGAAAUUGAAUUUAAACAUUUGAAUUUAAACAGUUAGUUUUAGCUUUUCUCUCUGGAAAGGGAUGAUUGUAUUUCCCCUUGAGCCUUCCCUGACACAGUGGUAGCCGGUCUUCUAGAGUGACCAUGCAAUUGCUACAUUUCUGUCUGUUUGAUGGCCAUUAAAAUUAUUGCUCAGGGUGCUUGAGAGUUUUCUUGGUUGCUGGUGUUAAACCCAUGUUCUACCAUGGUUCCGUAUAUGUAUAUGUAUAUGUAUAUGUACAUUUUUUUUUUUUUUUUUUUGUCUAGCUUCAUAAACUGGGUUGGGUAGGUUUUUGGUGGAUGGGGAAGCCGUAGUUUGCCUGAAACUGGAACCCUGGACCCGGACAUCCCAGGCCUUAUCAGGCCUUCCAUGUAGGGCUGAGUUUCCUUUUUUUUUUUUUUCCCAUUAUACAUGGAAUGCACUACCUGUGCCUUGUGAAGAAUGAUGGAAGGGACGGUCAGCCUGGCUAGGGAUUAGUCAGGCCCGUUGUAUUUGCCACCAUUCUCUCACUGUCACUCUCUGGUCUCCAUUAGAGUCUGAAGCUUUCAUAGUUCCAGAGAUUAUAGUUGCAACUCUUCAGUUCUGAUUGAACUAUUUUCAUAAUGUGGUUUGCUCAUCUAUUUAUUAAUAUGUCCAGAAUAUUUACCAUAAUAUAAUUAUUCACUUAACCAUAGUGUACCAGAUUUUAUGAUCUAUAAUUCUCCCAACUCCAAAGGGUAGCUCUAGUUUAAUUUCACAGAUAAGAGAUAGUUUUCAUGCAAUGCAAAUCUGUACAUAUAUGGAUAAUUUGUUCUUUUUAUGGAAUCAUCUGUAAUUCAUCUUUUUAAAAUAAAUUUAAAGACUUUUGAGUAGUUCAGUCCUUUUUGUUUGUUUGUUUGUUUGUUUGUUUUUUUUCAAGACGGGGUUUCUCUGUAUAACCCUGGCUGUCCUGGAACUCAUUCUAUAGACCAGGCUGGCCUUGAACUCAGAAAUCCUCCUGCCCCUACCUCCCAAGUGCUGGGAUUAAAGGCGUGUGCCACCACUGCCCUGCUCAGUCUUUUAAAUAGCAUUUUAAAUAAUGCUUUUAUUAAUUCUUUGAGAAUUUCAUACAAUAAAUUCGAUUAUAUUCACCCCUCCCCCCAACUUUUCUAGGUCUUUCCCACUGCCCAUCCUAUUCAUUCAUUCUCUCUCCUGCUUCUCUCUCCUUCUACCCUCUUCCUCCCUCUCUCCUUCCUUCCCCCUCCCUCCCUCCCUCCCUCCGUCCUCCCUCCCUCCCUCUCUGUGCUCUCUGAACACUAUGGAGUCCAACUGUGUUUGCUGCCUUCCAGGUCUGCCCUGAAUUGAGGCUUUCCCUAAGGCCUUGGUGUUAUUAUCUGUUCCCACCCUCUUUCCUCUUCCUUCCCCCCCCCCCCGCCAUAUCUCACUCCAUUUACUCUUUCUUGCCCUCCCCACCCCCUUAUAAUAUCCUAUUUCCCGCUUCUGGAAGGGUUUCCUCCUUCCCAUUGGCCCUUUACUAGUUAACUAGCCUGUGAAACACAUCUGCUAUAACAGAAAAUAGGGGUUUGGUCUCCUUAUUGAUCUAGGUUCCUCACUCAGGAAGCCCGUUCCCAGUCUGGACCGCUUACCUGCAGAUAUCCUUUAUUUCUCUAACUGCAAGAGUAGUGGUGCUCUUAACUGCUGGCUAUCCUUCCAGCCCUUCCAGCCCCAGUCACAUUUCCUUAUCUAUCUAAAUAUCUAUCUAUCUAUCUAUCUAUCUAUCUAUCUAUCUAUCUAUCUAUCUAUCUAUCUUCUAUCCUCCCUAUCUCCCCUCCCUAUCUAUCUCCCUUAUCUGUCUGUCUGUCCAUUCGUCAUCUGUCUGUCCAUUCGUCCAUCUGUCCGUCCGUACAUCCAUCCAUCCGUCCACUAUCUACUAUCUGUAGAUAAUAGUGAUAGAGAGUGAUGGAAGACAGCCCUGUUCAUCACUCAUCUUUUAAGUCUUCCUGGUCCUGUUUCACUCAUCUAUGUGUUCUGUUUGUUGAAUUAAUAAUUUUAGCCUCUUGUUGUGUGUGUGUGUGUUUUGUCUAAGAAGUAACCCAGUCAGUGGGGAAGGAUCUUACUCAGGCUUAAGAACUAACCUCUUUUAUGUGCCUCUUGCUGUCUUUCAGUCCUGUGAGCUGUCACAGGUAAAGAUUGCUGAGCUUAUAGAUGGUGUGGUGCUGGAGUAAAUCUCUCUCCAGGGUAAAAGUAGUAGGUUGCAUCAGCUGAUCUAGGGGUUCCUGGCAAAUUUUUAGAGUUUUAGCAAAAUUUUAUUUUACUUAUUUAUUUUUUAUGAGAGGAUUGAAGAAUGGCUACUCAAAGACACUUGAUUUUUGCAGUAAUGAUCACUUGAUCUUCCAUUAUACUCAGCAGUUGUUUAUUUGGACGUUAGCAUUGGUUUUUCUGUUUUGAUCUCAGUUCUUCUCAAGGUAAUACUUUAUACAGUCAUGGUAAGGUCUUUGUACUUGAGGCCAGGCGCUAUAUUAGUUUAGCUGGCUAAACCAAUGGACAUUGGUGUCCAUAGCUGAAAUGUUGGGUAAAAUUAAUAUCAAUUGCGGUUUUCUACCCGGCCCUUGAUCAUUCAGUACCCAGAUAAAAGACACAAAACCUUUACAUUAUAAUAUCCCUUAACAGCGUUAGAUAUCCGCCCUCUAAGCUAUUGGUAUCUACUUCCCUAUCAAAUCCCACGUUAUAACUUGCUAUGUUCCUCCUAGGCACUUUUACUUCAAUUGGCCAGCCCUCAUGGCCAUGUUUUCAUCCCCGAUCCCAUGGUGUCUUCCUCUCUAUUCACUCUCCUCCUCUUCCUGUUCUGUUCCUCCUCUUCUUCCUCCUCCUGCUUCCUCCUCUUCCUCCUCUUCUUCCUUUUCCUCCUCCUCCUUCUCCUUCUCCACCUGGCAACUCAAAACCUGCCUAUCUUUAAUCCCUCCAGUAAUUGGCUGUAGCCAUUUUUAUUUAAGCAGUAGUUUUAAUUUAAGGAACAAGGUUUGCACAACAAAAAAGCUGGUAAACAAGAUAAUUCACUUGUAGGCCUAGACCCUCUGUGUAGAAUUUAGCAUUAACAUACAUAGCAACAGAGCAAACCUCAACACCAAACUUAGUGUGGGCUGUUCCUGUGCCCAGUGGUAGUCUUUUCUCUGGCAUGCAGUACUUCUUUGUUUCACUUUCAAACUUUCCUGGCAGAGUAAGGUUAUAAAGGUUGUUGGACUCUGUUUUGAAGAAUUAGCCCCCUUUUCUCACAAAAAUAAAAUCCAGCUGUGGAUCUUAGCAGCUGCAUGCACCGUUUGAGUGGAUGCCUCUUGCUCUCUUUGCUGGCUUGUUUUGGUCAAUCUGGCACAAACUAGAAUUGCCAUGGAAGAAGGAACCUCACCUGAGGAAUUGUCUCCCUCUGCUUGGUUUGCUGCUAUCUCUGGGGGGCAUUUUCUUGAUUAAUGAUUGAUAAGGAAGGGCCCAGCCCUGGGAGGUGGUCAUGGGUGUGGAAGACAGGAAGCUGAGCAGGUGUGGAGAGCACCUUUAGCAGCACUCUUCUAUGGUUCCACCCUCUGCUCCCGAUGAGUGCCUGCCCUGAUGCCUUCAGUGGAGGCCUGCAAUCUAUCCUCCAGUUGGCUGGCGACUGUUUUAUCAGAGCAACAGAAAGAACUGAAGUUCCUGUUCACUGUUGCCAUAGUGCUCUUCCUGUUGAUGAAAGCAUUGUUAAACAGGGCAGUUUUGGCCUUCUUGUACUUUUUAUAGAUGGGUUGGACCAUUGUUUUUAAAACUGGUGUAAAUCAAGAAAUUUAGAAAUAGGUGAAAUGCCCACAUUUAGAACUAUUCAUUGGGUGCUUAUUGAAUAUUGCAGACUGCAUUUGUUGCUUUGUGCAAUAUGGAAGAUGAAGCUUACCUUGCCACAAUCUUACCUUUUUAACUAUAAUGUGAUUUCUGUUGGUGUGUUAUUAAUACAUUAAGAUUAUUUUCUUCAUUCAUUCAUACUCUACUAGUGAUUACCUGAUUAAUUUUAAUGACUACUUAUAUUUUCUAGUAUCUUUAGUAUUUGAGAAAAAAGUAUAUUAAAAAUGAAAUGCUACAAAAAUUAGUUUGAAUAAUAAAACAAUGUAAAGACUAAUUUUGUAAAAACUGUUUUUGAAAUUUUUAUUGAUAAUUAAUUUUGAAAAAAAAUUUAUUUAUUUGUUUUACGUACACGGUAGCUGUCUUCAGACACACCAGAAGAGAGCACCAGAUCCCAUUACAGAUGGUUGUGAGCCACCAUGUGGUUGCUGAGAUUUGAACUCAGGACCUCUAGAAGAGCAGCUAGUUCACUUAACCGCUGAGUCAUCUCUCUAGCCCACAAAUUAAAAUUUUAUACAAUAUAUCCUAAUCAUAGGUUCCCUUCCUCCAAUUCUCCCCAAAUCUUCCCCACCUUCCCAUCCAUCCAUAUCCAUACCCUUUCUUUCUUUCUCUUUAGAAAACCAACAUGUAAACAAAGCAAACAAAACUAGGAAAAAAAAACAAAGAAAAAAACACAAGAAACACAUAAGUGCACAUGCAUGCACACAUGCAUACACACACACAACCUCUGAAGUCAUAAGAUUGGAAACUGUACAAGCAAAAGACCAUUAAGACAAAAAACCAAACCAAAUCAAACCAAACCAAAGUGAUAUGAGGCAAAAAUCUAUAAAACACCUAUGAGUGUUUUUUGUGUUGAGCAUCUACUGCUGAGCGUGAGUGUGGUUACACAGUGAGAUCUGGGACGCUGUCUGACUCGAACCUGUGCUGAGGCAAUGCAUGCUUCCACAUAUUGUGGGAGUUCAUAUGUGUGUUAAUCCUGUUAUCAGGAAGACACAAUUUUCUUGGGGUGAUCCAUCACCUCUGGUACAAUCUUUCUGUCCCCUCUUCUGGAAAUCUCCCUGAUUCAUGAGGGAGGAGGCUUGAUAAAGAUAUCUUUUAGUACUGCUGUUUCAAAGUCUCUCUCUGGAUAUUUGUCCAGUUGAGGGUCUCUGUGUUAGUUACCAUCUACUGCAGGAGGACGCUUCUCUGAUGAGGGCUGAGUGAGGCACCGAUCUAUGGGUAUAGCAAAAUGUAGUUAGAAGUCAUUUUAUUGCUAUGUUCCUGUAGCAGAACAAUAGUAUUUUGUUUUCCUCUGGACCCAUGACCUAUCUAGUCUCAGGUUCUUGAUCACCAGCACAGUGUUAGGCAUGGGCUCUGUUUUAUGGAAUGGGCCUUACAUCCAAGCACACAGUGGUUGAUCACUCCCCUAACAACUGCACCAUUAUUGCACUAGCAUGUCAUGCAGGCAGGUCACCACUGCAGAUCUCAGGGUGUAUAGCAGGGUCUGUGGUUUCUUUCCCCCCUGCUGUUGGACGGACUAUUUUCUAGUACCAUGAACCUUAUUCAGGAGGUGUAAAGGCCCUAAAUAGGCAUCAGCUCAACUCUGCUGUGGUCAAUGAGGCAUGCUAAUGUUGUCUUCAGCAAUAAGGCCUUACUUACUGUUGUUUGUGAAAAGCAAUCAGCAGCAUUGGCAACAACCUGAAAUGUUUGAGAUUUUCCAUGGAGGCCCUUUUUGAUCAAUAACUUGUUUAGAUGGAACCCAUUCCUGGCACUAGUUUUAAUUUGGUAGUGAAAAGAUGAUCUAGUUUGAGCAUUGUCUUCCCUGUUCUUGGUGACUCCAUUUAGAUUUCUUUCACACACACACACACACACACACACACACACACACACACAAUGUAUAUUUAAAAUAUAUAACAUAUAUAGUAUAUAUAGUAUAUAUAUGAAGCUUCUACAGUGUUGCUAUUUUAUAUGAUAAAAUCUUAGAGAAAUAGUUUUACUUAAGGGCUAAUCAUUGGGGUUACAUUUUGCACCAUUGGCAUUUACUCAGUAUGUUGGUGUGUGUGUGUGUGUGUGUGUGUGUGCGUGUGAGAGAGAGAGAGAGAGAGAGAGAGAGCAUGCACAUGUGUACAUGAGUGCACAUAUAUGCAUGUGCCUAUAUGUGUAGAAGCCAGAAGACAAACUUGGGUGCCAUUCCUAAAGCACCAUUUUCCCCCUCCCCUCCCCUCCCCUCCCCUCCCCUCCCCUCACUGUUGACACAGGGACUCUCCUUGCCUGGAUCUUGUCAUGCUGUCAUGUCUAUUAGCAUGGCCACUGAGCUCCAGGGACCAUGUAGAUUCCUGUGUAUGAUCAACUUUGAAACGUUUAAACUUGUGUUUAGAUUCAUCUGUUUUGCAUGCGCUUCUCUUUGCUCACCCACUGUUUGUCAAAGGUUGUCUUUGCCUUAUUUUGUUGCCUUUGUUCCUAGCCAGAGAUCAUAAUCAGAGACAGGGCUUCCUCACGUUCUUUCUCAUUGAAAACCUUCAUCAGGAUUUUAUACUUUUUCCAUAUAAGUCCUGGACAUAUUUUGUUGGAGUGUUAUCUGAAGUAUUUCAGCUUUUGAAUGCUAAUGUAAAUGGCUUUCACUUUUAAUUUAAAAUUUUUCUUGUUUAUUGCUAGUCCACAGGAAAUCAUUUGCUCUUUGAUAACUAACUUUGUACUCUCCCAAUACUAAUAAGCACUGUGUUUACUUACUAGAUGCAUCAGGUUUUCCUUUGGUCUAUUUGGUAUGACUUUAUAGGUAACCAUGUUAUCUGAUGACAAAGACACUUUGAUUAGUUUCUGGUCUACUUUAAAUUCAUAUUCUUGGUGUAGUGCACUAGCGAGGAGGUCUAAUACAGGUUUCUUAGCAUUGAGAAUGACGUUAAAGGAUAGAGAGGCUGUUCAGUGAGUAAGGGCACUUUUGUGCAAUGUGAGUGUCUUAGUUACUUUUCUACUGCUAUAAAAAGACUCUGUUACAAAGACAAUUUAGAAAAGAAAGCAUUAAUUUGGGGCCUCACAGUUCAGAAGGGUGGAAUCCAUGAGCAUCAUGGCCGGGGGCAUGAGGUCAGGCAGGCAAGCACUAGAGCAGUAGCGAAGCGUUUACAUCUAAUCCACAGGCAGAAGGUAGAAAGAAAGGAUGAGGGUAGGGGGUGGGCUAACUGGGAAUGGUUUGGGCUUUUGAAUCCCGAAAAAAGCCCGUAUUUAGUGACACCCCUUCCCCAAGGAGACCACACCUCCUAGUCCUUUACAAACAUUUCUACUUAACUGUGGACCAAGGAUUCAAAUGCACACAUGGGGGCAUUCUUGUUCAGGUGGACUGAGUUUGACAUCUGACCCCAGUACUCACUACAUGAAAAACAAACCUGCCCGUGUGGUCCUAUGUGUUGGCAGUUCUCAUGCUGGAAGAUGGGGACAGAAACAUCCUGGAACUUGCUGACCAGUCACCCUCACCUAUUCGGCAUAUCAGACAGAAAGUGACCCUGUCUCAAAAAAACAAAAAACAAAACGAAAAAAAAAAAAAGCAAGUGGAUACUGUAUCCUGAGGAACAGCACCCAUAACCAUGCAUAAACACACCACAGUUCACAGUCCCUCCUGCUGUUUUAUAUGCACACAACACGGUUGACUAAUAAAGGUUCUAAAAGCAAAUGCCAUUGAUGUCUAACUAUAUUGAAGUUAGACUAGGAAAUGGCUUUUCUCAUGAUGGGCAUACCCCUGUGAUUCCUAUGAUUUUAUUUGUAGCUUUAAAAAAUAAUAGUUUCAGAUAUGAUUCCAUGUAUCCAUAUCUUCUAAGUUCAGAGAGGAAAUUGGCUUAUGUCUGUAUUAAGGUUGGAUGUUUCUUUGGACACCUGUUCAUUUCCUUCUGUGGUAUUAAAGUUUUAAACUCUGUCUACAAGUUUCAAUUUUUAAUUAGCUUUUAAUUUCAAAUAGUGUUUUAACUACACCCACCCCUCUCCCAACUCCUCCUAGACCCACCCAUUUGUCCGUACCCACCAAACUUUGUGUCCAAUUUAUUUUUUUAAACCCAAUUUGAGAGGCUCAUGAGUUAAAUUUCUUUCAGCACAGGGAUUACAAACACACAUGACCAUGCCUGUUAUUUGGUUUUUCACAUAGUGCGUGCACGUGUGUGUGUGUGUAUGUGUAUGAAACUCAGGCUGUCAGUCUUUCAUGGCAAGUGGUUUGCCAACUGCACCCUGAAUCCUUGACAAUUUGGCCUGAGAGUGGUGAGCUUAGCAGGGAUUACACUACUAAAGAGGACCGUGUUUCUUUCUCAGCAGUUACCAGAUGCCAAUAGCUCCUCGACAGGGUGGGAUUUAGCCCCAGGGUGGAUUUAGCCUGGUUAUGGCUUGCACAGAUCUCCUGCACAGUAUGUCCCAACUUUUGUGAGGUCAUACAUGCAGUGCCCUGUUCUGUCAGAAGAUACUAUUUCCUUGCAGUCAUGUGUCACUUGGCCCAAACCCCUUUCUGCCCUCUCUGACGUCAUCUCUUAAACUUGGCGGCGGGGGGGGGGGGGGGGGGGGGGAGAAGGGUAUGCUAUAGAUGUCCAUCUGGAGCCGAGCAUUCUGCAAGUGUGCUCCUUGACGAGUUGUGGGGCUCUGUUAGUCACCAGCCACUGCAAAUAGCUUCUUUCCUGAGGGCUGAGAGAUGCACUGAGCUAUCUGUAUAGUGUUAAGUUCUUAGGAGCAUCUGGUUAAUGCUGUGUCCACUUAGUAGAUGCCAUCUAAGUUCUGGGACUUGUCUAGCCAAGCACUUCCAUCUGUAUACUGGGAAGUGGAGGACUGACAUUUCUAGGAUUUGCUGUGAGAAAACCCUUCUGAAAAUCCUUUACAGAGAACAGAAGGUGAUUUUAAGCCCUAGCCUUGCUUAGCAGUGUAUACUACUAUACAUCCUUAAGUAAUGGUGAUGUUGACACAUGUAUAUAACUAAAGACUUCGCCAAAUGCAUUGUGGGUAGAUGGGCGGUGGGACUUGUCUUUAGCAGUGUGCACUUACACAUCCUCUUCACUGAGUAAUAUUCUGCUGGCUGGUGUGCUACAGUCCCCCCUUCCAGUCACCUACUGAAUGUCACGCUUAGGUAGUUACAGUAAAGCAGCUGUGAACAAGAACUUUUGGUGUGGACACAAAAGUUUAUUUGGAAAAUACCAAGAGGCACAAGUGCCAGGUUGUUUGUUAAGAAAUUGUUUUUAGUUCCUUUAAUUAUUUCCUUUAACAGUCACAAUAUGUAAUUACAAUCACAGUAUAAUUACAUCAUUUUAUGACGUGGCCAAGCUGUCUUCCAAAGUUGCUGUACAGUUUUCUGUUUCCUCUAACAGUGAAGGAAGUUCCUGUCGCUCUCCAACCUCGCCAGCACUUGGUAUUGUCAGCGCAUUACAGUCCAUUGUAUUCUGUAUGCUUCCAUUGGUUAUUAUAUACACAUUAACAUCACAGUUCAAUGCUGUCCAUAGACUUUGACAUGCAUAUUAUUUUUCUCUUUUGCUGCUCGUUAAGCUGUCAUAAAAAUCUUUAAUAAAAUCUAGAGGUGGAGUUAUACUAUCCUAAUGUACAAAGGUAUUUAAAAAGUUUCAUUAUUAUUAUUAUUAUUUUCCUUCAUGGUGCUGAGAAUUGAACCCAAGGUUUGUGCAUGGGAGGCAAACAUUUUGACACUGACCUACAUUCCCCAGCUUCAAAGUAUUAGCAUUACUGAGAUAAUUUUUGAUUUUGAAGUAAUUUGGAAAGAUAAUUGUUAUUUUCCUAUCUUUGAAUUUGCUUUAUAAUUGGUGAUAAUGUUACCUUGAAUAAAUACAAUAUAAAAUUUAAUGAGAACUUCAGUAAAGACAAUGAUUUCAAAUGUGAGCCAAUAAUUUAAAAAAAAUUUAGUGUAAUAUAAUGUAGUGAAAUUUUGUUCUACAAUAUAGUUGAAGAAAAGACAUUUAAAUAAUGCUUAAAUUGAUUAAAAGUAGUCAACAUGGGUAUUCUGAAAUAUUGGAUCAGUGUUUGUAUACACUAGGGCAUAAACCUACCAUGGUUAACUUCAAAAGUGAAUGGGGCCUUAUAAAUUUAUAUAGUCUGUUCCUUUUAAAAAAUAUUUCAUGUUAAGAAAAUCAGGCUGGGUUAAAUCGUUUUUUGUUUUUGUUUUUUGUUUUUUUUUUUGAGACAGGGUUUCUCUGUAUAGCCCAGGCUGGCCUGGAACUCACUCUGUAGACCAGGCUGGCCUGGAACUCAGAAAUCCUCCUGCCUCUGCCUCCUGAGUGCUGGGAUUAAAGGCAUGCGCCACCAUGCCCAGUUUAAAUCGUCUUUUAUGCUACUUAAGAGUACUUGGUUAGUCAUUAUACUUUAGCUGUUAAAAAUUGUUUUCAUGAAGUCAUUCUUUUGUAAAACUGACCCAUGAGAACUCAGGAGAAAAACACUACCUCCAUCUUUUUGGUAAAGUCCUGUUAAAUGUCUGUCUGUAGCUGGUGCCAUGGUGUCUUUAGUUGUUGCUUGGAUGUAGUGUGUUGGUGGUGUCAGCACAGCUGCCAGGGGCCUCCUGGGUAGCAGGUUAGCAGUACUUGUUCAAUCUCAACGCACACUGUGGUCUACAACAGUCUAGCAACAAGUAGGAUUUGUUUUCUCAGUCUGGAGAGGGUGGUUAAUUACCAGCUAGUGGUGUCCUUUUUGGUGAGAAAACCAUGUAGGUAUCAUUGGCUCUAAAUGUAUAGCUACAAGUUCUUAAUAAAGUAGUUAUUCUAGGACGUUUUGCCUUUGCUUGAAUUCUUUAAUGACUUCCUUCUCUUCCUGUUGACCUCAUUUCAAAGUUGAAGUUAACUUUAGAAUGUCACAGGAUAGCAAUACUCAAUAUUUCACACAGUAUGAUAUAGAUUUUUUUUUACCUGAUAUUGUCAGAUACUAUUUUAUUAAUACUUUGUUGUUGUUUUUUUCCCUGUAGCAGCAACAGUGUAUACAGUUUCAGUAAUUUGGCCAAGUCUUUUACUCACAAGUCAUUUGAUCCUUUAUAUUUCGAAGUUUAGGGUCACUAUUUGACAGGAAGAAGAAAGCAGUUGUCUUACUUUUUAAAAAAGAUUUAUUUAUUUCUUAUUAUAUGUAUGUACACCGUAGCUGUCUUCAGACGCUCCAGAAGAGGGCAUCAGAUCUAAUUAUGGGUGGUUGUGAGCCACCAUGUGGUUGCUGGGGUUUGAACUCAGGACCUUUGGAAGAGCAGUCAGUGCACUUAACCGCUGAGCCAUCUGACCAGCCCCUUGCCUUACUUUCUAUUGCUGUGAUGAACACCAUGACCGCAGGAACACACAGAUGACGGGGUGCAUUUGGGAUCAUGGCUCUGGGUCAGAGUUGACGAUGAGGAAGUGGAGGCAGCACAUGCAGCAGUGGCAGCUGGAGAAGCAGCUUGAGCUCCAACCUCAUUGCACAGACAGGGAGCAGAGGGGGACAAGGAGGGAGGGUGGGUAGGUGGGAGGGAGGGAGGGAGGGACAGAGACAGACAGAGAGACAGACAGAGAGUGCGAGAGCUCACAUACUAGGAUCCGCAGGUGCAGGCAGCUUUGAACUCCAGUAACAGACUUCUUCCAGCAUGGUUGCACCUCCUAACACUAACCAAACAGCACUACCAACUGGGACUGAUCUUAAGCACACAAGCCAACAUGGAUGGGGCAUAUCUCAUGAGUCUUAGCAUCUAGAUCAGUGGUUCUCAACCUUCUUACGCUGUGACAGUUUCUUAAGUUGUAUUUUUUGACUUAAAGCUAUAAAGUUAUUUUGUUGCUCCUUCACAGCUAAUUUUGCUACUGUUAUUAAUCAUAAUGUAAAUAUCUGACAUGCUGGAUAUCUGAUAUUCGAUCUUAAUAAAAGGAUCUUUCAACCCCAGAAGGGGUUGUGACUACAGGUUGAGAACCACUGCUCUAGAGGACGAGCUAUAGGCAAUUGGUUGCUAAGUGUGGGAGAAUCAGUAGUGUUGGACAGGGAUGAGCCCUUGAUAGGUUAACCAAUUAGGAAGAUCAGUUGCUAAAAGUAUUUGAACAACACUAAAUGAUCUCAGCAGCUUGUGUUUACAAAUUUGAUAUGCAUGCAUAUAUAUGUGUUACACACACACACACACACACACACACACACACACACACACAUGCGUCCAUUGUGGUAGUUUGGCCUUAUUGGAGGAUGUAUGCUACCUUUGAAGUGUCAAGCCUAUGCCAGGGUUAUUCUCUCUUCCCCUGACCCCCACCUGUGGAUCAGGAUGUAGCUCACAGCAACUGCUCUAGCACUAUGUGUGCCAACAUGCUCCCUGCCAUAAUGGACUGAACCUGAAACAGUUAGCAAGCUCACAGUUAAAUGCUGUCUUGGGUAAAAGUUGCUUUGGUCAUGGUGUCUGUCCUCAGCAACAGAACAGUGACUAAGACAUAUAUGUACAUGUACCAAUUACAAUUAAAGAUUAAGAAACUAUGAAUUUGAAAAGGAGUGGGAGGGACACAGGGACUGGAGGGAGGGAGAGAAUGGUGUAAAUAUGUGAAAUUCUCAAAAAAAAAAAUUCUGUCUACAUCCACUUAUGGGGGAGACAGGAGGGUCCAAGGAGCUUGCUGUUUACGUGGUCUAGGCAAGUCAGUGACUUCAGACUCAUCAGGUUCUGUCUCAAAAGAGGUGAAAAGACAGACAGUGUCCACAUUUGUCCUACACAGGCAUACAGAUAUACACACCUGCACAUGUAUGUGGACACACACACGUGCCAUACACAUAUACAAUCAUAGUAAAUAAAAAUUAAGACAAUGAAAGCAAAUUGAUAUUGUAAGAAGAUAAAUGUUCUUUAUUUUUGCAGAGAAUUAAAUCUUCAGCAGACAUUUGAUAUUGCAUGGCAUAAAGUGUCUUUAACAUCUGUCAGUGGUGACUGGUACUUUGAUUUUAUGACUGUUAAUGCUGAGAAUGUGACGUCACAUGUAUGGUACAAACACACAGUAGAAAUACAGUUAGGGCCAUUCCAGGAGUUGUUGGAAAUUGUUUAAUAAUGCUAAGCCAAAUUUUAUUUAACAAUUUUUAAAUGAAAUUAAAGGAAGAAACUGAAAUACCAGUUCUUAAAACCAAACAUUCCAACACAUGAAAUCCAAAGAUUAACCAACUUGAUACGUGAUGAGAAGUGAUGCUUAGGAAAUGGAAAAAGCCUUUGUUUUAUAAUUCAAAUAUGUUUCUAAGAAGGUAGAAGACUUUGUAUGCACAUAAGAACACUUUGAUUCACAACAGGAAAGUCUGGCUGGAAUCAGGUCUGAGUUGUUCAAGGAAGUGUUUGUUGGCACAGACUGCUGUGUGAUGUGUGGAGAUGCUCAGAACCAAGCCUGCAGUGAGGCCGCGGGGGACAGCGAGGCCAGCACUGGAACUACUGGGUUUGGGGCUGAAAUACCUGAAACAAAGUCAGCUAUAGGAGAGUCCUAAGGUCUCAUGAGCAGUAAUGUGUCAUCAUCAGUGCUCUGGAUGUGAUCUGCACGCCGUUCUCUUAGUGUAGCAUGUGUAGCAAGCAGAUCGUGACAGUGCUUGUAUUUUGGGAUUGCCCAGUAAGUAGGAGCCUGAGGAUUGUCUUCACUUUAACCCAGAGUGAGUGCUGUUUUCAAGGGUAGCCUCUAGUGUCUUUAGGGCAUAGAGCUUACCCAGAGAUUGGAUAGGAGGUUUCAGUGUUUGUUUAAAUAAUAAACCAUGUGCAUCCAUGUGCAUGUGGUCCACAAUACACAUCUGGGGUCAGAGGAGAACAACUCGUUGAUCCAGGUGGAUUCUAGGGUCAGAACUCAGGUCAUCAAGUGCCUUUACUGUCUGAGUACUCUUGGUGGCCUGGGAUGGAAGUUGUAUUUAAAUUCUAUGAGCAACUGUAUUUCUACAGUUGUUGAUUAUUUCUUAAUUAAUUCUUAUUGUUUUAUCUUUGCUCCUUGCAGUUUUCCAGAGUUGUUUUUAAAUGUGUCAUUUUUAACUUGCCUAUCUCAGGAGGCAAGUGUUUUCUGUUUCUAGGCACACCUAACCGUGUGUUGUUUGCUUCAAUUCCCAGCAUGAGACAGCAGCAAAGCAACUUUUUUGUGUGCAUCUAACUUACCUGUCUAUCUAAUGAAAGACUUUCAUUUGUGUUGUUUCCUGGGCCACCUGAUGUGGAGAAUAGGAGAAGCAGACAUUUUUAGUAUGACUUUUAAGAAAAGCUUGGUUUUAGCAUUUAUUGUGUGGUUUCACAGUUUUUGACACUCCAAGUCUGUUUUUUAGCCAACUGUUAAUGGUGAGGAAGUUUAAAAGACAAUGUUAGAACCUGGAUUUCUAACUUUUCACACCUCCUUAACACCAGGUGGCAAGUGCUAUUAAACAUUUGAUCAGGCUGAUCUAGUUUCACUGCUAAUAACUGCUACAGUCCCAUGAGUAGCCGUUUGGUGGCUGCCAAAUGCCUCCUGAGAAGCCUCAGCUGGCUGUAAUCUGACAAACUAUUGGCAUUUUAUCACCCAGGAGUGACAUUUGGACACUGGUCUGUGUCUUUGGUCAAGCUGGGGUUAUGUAGUGGCUGAGGAAGGGACGUGGCUUUCUUUACAAGUAUUUGAAUGACAUAAGAUAAUUUAGUCUUUUUAAGAAUAAUUAAACACAAAUAUGUAAAUUAAGUUUUGCUCUCCUAAGCCUCCUCCCCUGCUCUGUGACUCAGCUCUUUGUGUAUGGAUAGCCAGUCUUUGCUGCUUGGAGGCUUCGUGGGGCAGGGGGAGGACAGGGUCCCUCCUGUGGUUCUGAGGAAGAUGGGAGGUGGAGCAUUCCUUGGGGUGAUUCAGAGCUCUUGGUAGAAGGAAGCGGGAGUGGGAUGGUCACAAGUUGGUAUCCUUUGGCAGUAUUCUUUGAAGACUUAGUGUGUGGGGUCUGGAAGGCAUCAAUCAGGAAUGAAAAAGCAAGUUAAAACAAAAAUGGAGAAAUGUUAUGCUCUAUUUCUUGAAAUAUCUGUCUUCAGACAGUGCCUUUCAUCACAGGACCCUUCUUCCAGAAUGCUGCUGGCUAGUUUUAUGUUAGCACUCUACGUGUAUGAAUAUCUGCUCCAUGUAGGAGCUCAGAAAUCGGCUCAGACAUUUUUAUCAGAGAUAAGAUGGGAAAAAAACAUCACAUUGGGGGAGCCGCCCGGAUUCUUACAUUCUUGGUGGUGUGUAUUUUGGGAUCUCUACUGUGCAGCUCCAGAGAGACGGGAAACCUGUGAACACUCGAGCGAAGCUAAAGCCUUCCAUGAUUAUAGUGCUGCAGCAGCUCCCAGCCCCGUGCUAGGAAACAUGCCCCCAGGAGAUGGCAUGCCAGUAGGUCCCGUGCCACCAGGGUUCUUUCAGCCUUUUAUGUCGCCUCGGUACCCUGGCGGCCCGAGGCCCCCAUUGAGGAUACCUAACCAGGCACUUGGAGGUGUCCCAGGAAGUCAGCCAUUACUCCCCAGUGGAAUGGAUCCAACACGACAACAAGGACAUCCAAAUAUGGGUGGACCAAUGCAGAGAAUGACUCCCCCAAGAGGAAUGGUGCCCUUAGGACCACAGUCUGACCCUUGGUUAUCAUUACAGAACUAUGGAGGUGCAAUGAGACCCCCACUGAAUGCUUUAGGUGGCCCUGGAAUGCCUGGAAUGAACAUGGGUCCAGGUGGUGGUAGACCUUGGCCAAACCCAACAAAUGCGAAUUCAAUACCCUACUCCUCAGCGUCUCCUGGGAAUUACGUAGGUCCUCCGGGAGGUGGAGGACCACCAGGAACACCCAUCAUGCCUAGUCCAGCAGAUUCAACUAAUUCUGGAGACAACAUGUAUACUUUAAUGAAUGCAGUACCUCCUGGGCCUAACAGACCUAAUUUUCCAAUGGGCCCUGGAUCAGAUGGUCCUAUGGGUGGAUUAGGAGGAAUGGAGUCCCAUCACAUGAACGGCUCUUUAGGCUCAGGAGAUAUGGACAGUAUUUCCAAGAUGGUGCUGCUGCUGCUGCUGCUGCCAUCGCCGCUGCUGUACAUUCGAUGUUUGAAACACUACAAUGCAGGAGGGAAAUGAAAACCUUCAACAAUGACUUCUUUUCUGAACCUUAUUUACAGAAUUCUCCCAAUAAUAUGAGCCUGAGUAACCAGCCGGGCACUCCAAGGGAUGACGGUGAAAUGGGGGGAAAUUUCUUAAAUCCUUUUCAGAGUGAGAGUUACUCCCCCAGCAUGACCAUGAGCGUGUGAUCCGUUGCCGCGUCUCUCAUGAAAACCAUCGUGAGUCAGCCCAUCACAGAACUACUACAGAAGAAAACUACUCGUCGUGUACAGUUAGACAAAGGAAUCUCAGACAACCAGACCACCUUUUAGUUCCUGCUCUCUCCCCUAUUUUGAGAAGAAAGCGGGUCCAAAUGUGAUUCAAGCAACUGUACGGAGCGGCACAUUAGCAUUGCCCCCAACUGAACUGCGAUGAUUAUCUGUGUGUAUGUGUGGGAAGAGAAUGCAUCGUAUAUGCAGAUCUGUAUGCACAUAUACGCAUACGUGCAUUGACCCACAGGACAUUGUAAGAUAGUAUCACAUGACAUCUUAAGUAGAAGUAAGUAGGACUUUUAUGCCAUCCUUUUUUUCACGUUUACACUUUAAUUAUUAAAGGUUGCUCCUGCCCUUCCCCAACUAUUUUGUGCUGUGUACAUCACUGCUUUAUAUAAGUUAUUUUUUAAGGUGAACUCAGAUGUUAUGGUUUUGUAAAUGUCUGCAAUCAUGGAUAGGAAUAAAAUUGCUUAUUUGAGAGCUUUCAUUCACUGUGUCUGAAGCAAGUUGCCCGUGAGCCCCAGGUUGUACCAAGUAGAGACAGUGACUUCAUCCUCAUGUCCAACCAGGCACCCAGUUACCUUCUGUGCAAAGUAGUGUGGUGCUUUGUAUAUAAGGAAACCCCUCAACAGUAGCUCAGCCAGGGCUUCAUACAGUACACUUCUGCAAUAACUGCUUUAAAUUGAGUUCUUUCUUGAUUUGUGUGUCUUAGAUGAUGCAGAACUCAUUAGCUAACUCAAAUGACUUAAACUGUAGCAAUAAAGUGACAUGGGUUAUCAUACUUUUAGCACACAUUCUCUCUUAAACACGAUAAAAUCCAAAAGUGAUAACAAAACCACUUGUUUGAACUUACAGCGUCUCCCAGGGAACUAGAAGUAAAUGUCUAAUAAGACACAGCGAGAAAUGGUGUUGUAUGUUUAUUCAGAUUUCCUAUGAUCAUUUCUACAGACACUUGAAAACAGACAGACACACUGACAUGAUUCAGGUUUUCAGCCCAGAGAGCAGAGAAUGAGGAAACUAGAGGAUUCUGCAGCGUUUCUGGUUUCACCCACCCAGUAGCUUGCUUGCUGGAGCAGAACUGAUGGGUACCUGUCUGUUCUGUUGUCCCUGCUCUCAGGUGGCAGUUCCAUGCCCUGUCUGCUCUGUCCUGGGUCAGAGGGCUUGCACUGGGAGGCAGAUUAUCUGUGUAGCUUAUGUUCACUGCAGCUGGCUAGAUCUCCAUUUUGUGUCUGACAGUUCAGAAGGGAGUAAAGAAACAGUUUUAAUUAUCUCCCUUAUGAAAGCACCCUGCUUGCAUGACACUUCCCAGAUCUUUGGGAUUCCGUUUAAUCCUAUAUCCAAACACCAAAUCCUAAUAGGAAAAGCAUAGAGAGUUUAUUUUAUAAUUGAAAAGACAGCUCUGCAACCCUUGCUGUUCUAACUGAGAUACAAACAACCACUGAUCUCUACCCUGCUAGAGGGUAUUGCCCGGGCUUAGGGGCGAGGAUUCUCCCUUUCCUGUGGGACUGUAACAUAACUGAAAACGUUGACACUGUUUGCCUGCUGUUGGUUCUGGACAAUUGAUUUCUCUCAGAUCCACAUUGAUUCAUCCUUUCUGAAAAUGGAAAAUGUUAGCUGGGCAUUCCAGGGAUGCUGGGAGCAUAGAGGAUAAAAAAGAUGAAGUAGCUUUACACUGCAGAUCUAGAGGACAGUAUAUGAGUCAUACUUUAUAAAGUACAGCGUCAGCCUACAACUGUACCAGAGAGCAGCCUUGUACUAGCCAGCUACAGGAACCUGUCACAGGCAGUUCACACAGGAAGUCCAUUUCCCCCCAGUCACUAGUGGCCACUUCCUUCUCUCUGACUGUACAGAGUUGAACUGUGUUCAGUGGGCUCGGUCUCCCAGCGCUUCCUUUCCUCAUCUGCUCUCCAUCUCGCCUGGCCUUCGUCUCUGUCAUUCAUCUUCUGAGAAGGGAAGCAAAUGAUUCCUACCACUCGCAGAAGUCAUGAGCCUAAUUUUACUUGGGAAUCUUAGAAUAUAAAUGACACAAAUGGCAUUUUAACAGUGGUUGAUAGAGUAGCAUCAUGUGUGCUUCUAACCUGUUUUGUUUUUUAAAAAAGUAAAAUGGUUUUGUUUUUGUUUUCA
Molecule: RNA transcript, 28015 nt
Organism: Mus musculus (house mouse)
Lineage: Eukaryota; Metazoa; Chordata; Mammalia; Rodentia; Muridae
Gene: Ssbp2
Gene name: single-stranded DNA binding protein 2
Exons: 18
Source: RefSeq, marked validated